AAUGAAAGAAGGGGAGUUCCCUAACCUCCGAGUCUUCUGAUAAUUUUUUCCGUCUUGAGAAAUUGGCUGUGAACCAGUGUAGGAAGCUUGAAGAGGUCCCUUCUUGUUUAGGGGAAUGUGAGACUCUUGAAAUGAUUGAGGUGAAAUGGUGCCGCGAGUCUGUUGCAAAUUCUGUAAAGCAAAUUCAGCAAGAACAGAUGGAUCUGGGAAAUACGGAUCUAAAGAUCGUAAUUGAAGAUUGUUAUGAUGAUACACCCAUUCUCUCCAAAGAAUAGUCGAAUUCCUCACAAGCAGAGUCAAUUCCCUUAGAGGCAGAGGAGAUUUCCUCUCACCACACUUGAUCAGGUUUCCUCGGCAGGAGAGCCUUUUUCUUCUCACCACACCAGACAAGGGUGAAGACUCAAGCAUUCAUCGUCUCUUCUUGAUUCCUCGUGCCUCUUCUUUAUCUGUACAUACGUUGUAUCAGUUUGAUGACAUAAUAGUUCAUUUGUACUGAAGCAAUUUUUAGAGCUUCCAGAUUAUUUGGUUUGAACUUGAUGCAGCUGUAUUACUUUGUCAUUGCAGGGGCAAGCACAGUCAUGCAUUCUAUCAGUCCAACAUUAUCCGUCAUAAUCUAUUUGUAAAAUGUUCUCCAUGCCCUCUUCUGGUUUGAUGUUUAUUAGUGUUUAUGAACCCAAUUUUUGAAAUCUUCUUCAUGUUCUUUUCUAGUUCGAGGUUCAAUAUGCUUGUAUAUCAUCAUCCCAGUUUGUUAAAUCUUCUUUGAUGCAGCUAAGAUUGAUGUGAUGCUUAUAAGUUAAAACCAGCUAAGAUUGAUGUCAUGCUAGAUAAACUUUUCUGUUCCUUUAUUGUAUCACAGAUAAGAGUAAUACAUAUAAUUGUAACUUGCUUCUGUUUA
Molecule: non-coding RNA, 895 nt
Organism: Coffea arabica (coffee)
Lineage: Eukaryota; Viridiplantae; Streptophyta; Magnoliopsida; Gentianales; Rubiaceae
Source: RefSeq, a predicted model, not a curated record